AGCAGCCGCGGUAAUUCCAGCUCCAAUAGCGUAUAUUAAAGUUGUUGCAGUUAAAAAGCUCGUAGUUGAAUUUCGGGAUCAAUUUGCUGGUCGUGCCUCUGGUACGUACUGGUAUUAUUGGUUUCUCCCUUCUGACGAACCAUGAUGUCAUUAAUUUGAUGUCGUGGAGAAUCAGGACUGUUACUUUGAAAAAUUAGAGUGUUUAAAGCAGGCAUUAGCUUGAAUACAUUAGCAUGGAAUAAUGAAAUAGGACGUUUGAUCCUAUUUUGUUGGUUUCUAGGAUUGACGUAAUGAUUAAUAGGGAUAGUUGGGGGCAUUAGUAUUCAAUUGUCAGAGGUGAGAUUCUUGGAUUUAUUGAAGACUAACUACUGCGAAAGCAUUUGCCAAGGAUGUUUUCAUUAAUCAAGAACGAAAGUUAGGGGAUCGAAGACGAUCAGAUACCGUCGUAGUCUUAACCAUAAACUAUGCCGACUAGGGAUCGGAUGAUGUUAAUUUUAAUGUACUC
RNAcentral lists this unclassified non-coding RNA (505 nucleotides) under uncultured Glomus. RNAcentral describes it as "SSU rRNA". It matches the Rfam family "Eukaryotic small subunit ribosomal RNA", at positions 569 to 1077 of the family's 1831-position model. Lineage: Eukaryota; Fungi; Glomeromycota; Glomeromycetes; Glomerales; Glomeraceae. The record is from RNAcentral.